Molecule: transfer RNA, 71 nt
Filed under: Ictidomys tridecemlineatus (thirteen-lined ground squirrel)
Lineage: Eukaryota; Metazoa; Chordata; Mammalia; Rodentia; Sciuridae
Description: Spermophilus tridecemlineatus (thirteen-lined ground squirrel) tRNA
Rfam family: tRNA
About the family: Transfer RNA (tRNA) molecules are approximately 80 nucleotides in length. Their secondary structure includes four short double-helical elements and three loops (D, anti-codon, and T loops).
Source: Rfam by way of RNAcentral
GUGGCUGUAGCUCAGUGGAAGAGCACUUGUCUUGUAUGGGUGAGGCUCUGGGUUCAAUCCUCAGCACCACA